RNAcentral lists this ribosomal RNA (440 nucleotides) under uncultured bacterium. RNAcentral's name for it is "partial 16S ribosomal RNA". It matches the Rfam family "Bacterial small subunit ribosomal RNA", at positions 338 to 795 of the family's 1533-position model. The record is from RNAcentral.
CCUACGGGUGGCAGCAGUAGGGAAUAUUGCUCAAUGGGGGAAACCCUGAAGCAGCAACGCCGCGUGGAGGAUGAAGGUUUUCGGAUUGUAAACCCCUUUUGUUAGAGAAGAAAAUGACGGUAGCUAACGAAUAAGCACCGGCCAACUCCGUGCCAGUAGCCGCGGUCAUACGGAGGGUGCAAGCGUUACUCGGUAUUACUGGGCGUAAAGAGCGUGUAGGCGGGAUAGCAAGUCAGAUGUGAAAUCCUAUGGCUUAACCAUAGAACUGCAUUUGAAACUGUUAUUCUAGAGUAUGGGAGAGGUGAGUGGAAUUCUUGGUGUAGGGGUGAAAUCCGUAGAGAUCGAGAGGAAUACUCAUUGCGAAGGCGACCUGCUAGAACAUAACUGACGCUGAUGAGCGAAAGCGUGGGGAGCAAACAGGAUUAGAUACCCCAGUAGUC